RNAcentral lists this ribosomal RNA (496 nucleotides) under uncultured bacterium. RNAcentral describes it as "partial 16S ribosomal RNA". It matches the Rfam family "Bacterial small subunit ribosomal RNA", at positions 28 to 506 of the family's 1533-position model. The record is from RNAcentral.
GAUGAACGCUGGCGGCGUGCCUAAUACAUGCAAGUCGAGCGAACGGACGAGAAGCUUGCUUCUCUGAUGUUAGCGGCGGACGGGUGAGUAACACGUGGAUAACCUACCUAUAAGACUGGGAUAACUUCGGGAAACCGGAGCUAAUACCGGAUGAUAUUUUGAACCGCAUGGUUCAAAAGUGAAAGACGGUCUUGCUGUCACUUAUAGAUGGAUCCGCGCUGCAUUAGCUAGUUGGUAAGGUAACGGCUUACCAAGGCAACGAUGCAUAGCCGACCUGAGAGGGGGCUCGGCCACCCUGGAACUGGGACACGGCCCGGACCCCUACGGGAGGCAGCAGUGGGGAAUUUUCCGCAAUGGGCGAAACCCUGAAGGAGCAACGCCCGGUGGGUGAAGAAGGUUUUCGGAUCGUAAAACUCUUUUAUUGGGGAAAAACAUAUGUGUAAGUAACUGUGCACCUCUUGACGGUACCUAAUCAGAAAGCCACGGCUAACUACGU